UACGUAGGUGGCAAGCGUUAUCCGGAAUUAUUGGGCGUAAAGAGCGCGCAGGUGGUUGAUUAAGUCUGAUGUGAAAGCCCACGGCUUAACCGUGGAGGGUCAUUGGAAACUGGUCGACUUGAGUGCAGAAGAGGGAAGUGGAACUUUGAGUGUAGCGGUGAAAUGCGUAGAGAUUCAAAGGAACACCAGUAGCGAAGGCGGCUUUCUGGACCAUAACUGACGCUCAUGCGCGAGAGCUGGGUUAGCGAACCGGAUUAGAUACCCUGGUAGU
Molecule: ribosomal RNA, 271 nt
Filed under: uncultured prokaryote
Description: partial 16S ribosomal RNA
Rfam family: Bacterial small subunit ribosomal RNA
Source: RNAcentral